UAAUACGUAGGCAGCAAACGUUGUUCGGAGUUACUGGGCGUAAAGAGUACGUAGGCGGUUUGCCAAGUUUGGUGUGAAAUCUCCUGGCUUAACUGGGAGGGUGCGCCGAAUACUGGCGGGCUUGAGUAUUGGAGAGGAAAGCGGAAUUCCUGGUGUAGCGGUGAAAUGCGUAGAUAUCAGGAGGAACACCGGUGGUGUAGACGGCUUUCUGGACAAUCACUGACGCUGAGGUACGAAAGCGUGGGUAGCAAACAGGAUUAGAUACCCUGGUAGUCCACGCCCUAAACGAUGCAAACUUGGUGUAGGCAGUUCAGUCUGUCUGUGCCGGAGCUAACGCGUUAAGUUUGCCGCCUGGGGAGUACGGUCGCAAGGCUG
Molecule: ribosomal RNA, 375 nt
Filed under: uncultured bacterium
Lineage: Bacteria
Description: bacterial SSU rRNA
Rfam family: Bacterial small subunit ribosomal RNA
Source: RNAcentral